AUACGGAGGGUGCAAGCGUUACUCGGAAUCACUGGGCGUAAAGCGCGCGCAGGCGGGCUGAUAAGUUGGAUGUGAAAGCCUACGGCUCAACCGUAGAACUGCAUCCAAAACUGUCAGUCUAGAGUGUGGGAGAGGAAGAUGGAAUUAGUUGUGUAGAGGUAAAAUCCGUAGAGAUAACUAGGAAUACCAAAAGCGAAGGCAAUCUUCUGGAACACUACUGACGCUGAGGCGCGAAGGCGUGGGGAGCAAACAGGAUUAGAAACCCUGGUAGUCC
This 274-nucleotide ribosomal RNA is filed under the name uncultured bacterium. RNAcentral's name for it is "partial 16S ribosomal RNA". It matches the Rfam family "Bacterial small subunit ribosomal RNA", at positions 523 to 796 of the family's 1533-position model. The record is from RNAcentral.